Molecule: non-coding RNA, 72 nt
Organism: Dermacentor andersoni
Lineage: Eukaryota; Metazoa; Arthropoda; Arachnida; Ixodida; Ixodidae
Source: the annotation of a RefSeq genome assembly
GCCACGGUAGCUCAAUUGGUAGAGCGUUGCACACGUAAUGCGAAGACGUGGGAUCGUUCCCCACCUGUGGCA